Molecule: ribosomal RNA, 529 nt
Filed under: uncultured bacterium
Lineage: Bacteria
Description: bacterial SSU rRNA
Rfam family: Bacterial small subunit ribosomal RNA
Source: RNAcentral
AGAGUUUGAUCCUGGCUCAGAUUGAACGCUGGCGGCAUGCCUUACACAUGCAAGUCGAACGGCAGCAUGAUCUAGCUUGCUAGAUUGAUGGCGAGUGGCGAACGGGUGAGUAAUACAUCGGAACGUGCCCUGUAGUGGGGGAUAACUAGUCGAAAGAUUAGCUAAUACCGCAUACGACCUGAGGGUGAAAGUGGGGGACCGCAAGGCCUCAUGCUAUAGGAGCGGCCGAUGUCUGAUUAGCUAGUUGGUGAGGUAAAGGCUCACCAAGGCGACGAUCAGUAGCUGGUCUGAGAGGACGAUCAGCCACACUGGGACUGAGACACGGCCCAGACUCCUACGGGAGGCAGCAGUGGGGAAUUUUGGACAAUGGGCGAAAGCCUGAUCCAGCAAUGCCGCGUGUGUGAAGAAGGCCUUCGGGUUGUAAAGCACUUUUGUCCGGAAAGAAAUGGCUCUGGUUAAUACCUGGGGUCGAUGACGGUACCGGAAGAAUAAGGACCGGCUAACUACGUGCCAGCAGCCGCGGUAAUAC